This 172-nucleotide ribosomal RNA is filed under the name uncultured bacterium. Its description in RNAcentral is "partial 16S ribosomal RNA". It matches the Rfam family "Bacterial small subunit ribosomal RNA", at positions 1328 to 1500 of the family's 1533-position model. The record is from RNAcentral.
GGAAUUGCUAGUAAUGGCAGGUCAGCAUACUGCCGUGAAUACGUUCCCGGGCCUUGUACACACCGCCCGUCACACCAUGAGAGUUGGAAAUACCCGAAGCCUGUGAGCUAACUUAAAGAGGCAGCAGUCGAAGGUAGAGCCAAUGAUUGGGGUGAAGUCGUAACAAGGUAAC